Symphalangus syndactylus (siamang) is the source of this 5393-nucleotide long non-coding RNA. RefSeq lists it as uncharacterized. Lineage: Eukaryota; Metazoa; Chordata; Mammalia; Primates; Hylobatidae. The record is from RefSeq and is a predicted model, not a curated record.
UAUUAUAUAUAUUAUAUAAACAUAUAUAUAAAAUAUAUAAACUUAUACAUAAUAUAUAAACUUAAAUAUUAUAUUAACUAUAAUAUAUAAAUACAUAUAACUUACAUAUUAUAUUUUUGAUAUAUAUAUAAAUAUAAAUUUUUUUCUUUCUCAUAUAAGAGGCGAGCAGUCCAGGACUGGUACGGUGGCCCCUUGAUCACUAUCUGGGUAUGCAGCUUCUAUCCUCAAGGUCACCUCAUGAUCCAAGAUGGCUGCUGAAACUCCAGUCAUUACAUCACAUGGAGUUGCAGGCUGGAAGGAGGAAAGAAAGACAAAAGCUCCUCCAACUCCCUGCUGUCAUCUCCCAUGAAGCAGCCUUAUUAGGAAUCCCACAGAACACUUGCACUUAUCUCAUUGCUAGAACCUAGUCACAUAGGUUGUGCACACUUAGCUGUAAGAAAGUCUGAGAAAUGAAGGGGUUUUUUUUUUAGCAAGACACAUUGUCACCCAGAAUAUAAUCAGGGUCCUUCCACCAAAACAAAGAAUGGAGAAUGGGUAUUGAGGGAUGCUCAGAGUCUAAGCCAGAGUUGGGAGGAAAUAAAGGACACUUCCAGUUAGGUUUUAAUGCUUUCUUUUUCUAUAAGAAGGCUAUGUCACUUUGGAAAUUUAAAACAUAAGUAAAAGAACCAUUUUGGAAAAAAUAAGAGAAAUUCUGGAAAAGAGAGAUUAGCGCUUACCCUAUAGGAAUAAUUUCCGAAAGUGGAAUUUCAGGCAUCAGAGGCAUGGUGUUUUAGACGAGGGAGUAGAAACCCUGCCAGAGCCCUCAAGUCAAUGCACACAAACACAUGGGACUAGGGCACACUGCCUAUGGGGUAACCCUACUCCACAAAGAGCAGUUAAAAAAAAAAAAGCCUAUCCAGGUGGAGAGAGUUCUGUAGGUGUGGAUAUUCAUGCAUUCCUAUGCUUGAAGCCAAAUAUUUGUUUUAAUACAUGCUAGUUUUGGCCAGGUGCAGUGGCAGAUUACAUGCCCGUAAUCUCAGCACUUUGGGAGGCCGAGGCAGGAGGAUUGCUUGAGCUCAGGAAUGCAAGACCAGCCUGGGCAACAUAGGGAGACCUCAUCUCUACAAAAAAAUUAAAAAAUUAGCCGGGUAUGGUGGCACACACCUGUAGUCCCAGCUACUUGGGAGGCUGAGGUGGGAGGAUCAUUUGGGCCCAGGAGGUCGAGGCUGCAGUGAGCCAUGAUUCCACCACUGCACUCCAGCUUGGGUAACAGAGUGAGACCCUGUCUUAAAAAAAAAAAAAAAAACCCAAACAAAAACAAACAAAAAAAAGCAUGCUAAUCUCCAUGUCUGUCUACCCUUUUCUUCUCCACUUCACAAUGUCACUCACAGAGGGGAAACAUGAAGUUUGCCAUCCACUCAAAUACAGUUCUCUCUUUCUCCUCACCACAAUCACUCCCUAAGCAACUACCUGAGAACUCUUUCAAAAAUGCAAGGCAAGCAUAUUCCUCCACUGUUUAAACCCUUCUCAGAUUCCCUGACCAAAGCAGGCAAACUCCCUCUUCAUGAGGCCCCUUCCCUAAUUUCCAGUCCUGCUUUCUGUCAGCUCCUCUGUGUCUUCCUCCUCCCCAGAUAGAGCCUCCAAGAAGCUUCUGCUCUCUGGGAUGCCCUGCCCUCCAUUGUCUACCUAGCAAACUCCUACUUUCCCUUCAAUGGCCCACUCAAAGGCACCUCCUCUGUGAACACUUCCUUGAUUGCCUACAGGCAGGGACCUUUUUUUUUCUUUCUUUUGUGUUCCUGUGACACUUCAUGACCAUCUCUGCCAGCAGGUCUAUGUUUUCCAUUAGAGCAUGAACUCUUCCAGAGUAGAAAUGAGGCUUUAUUUUUGUCUGUGCCUCAAUGCCAAGCACAGAGCCUGGCAUGAACUAGGUGCCCAGUGUAAGGCAGUUAUAAGGCAAUAGAGCAUAGUGGUUAAGAGCAUAAACUCUGAUGCUACCCCACCUGACUUCGAGGUCAGGCUCUGCCACCUACUUAACAGCUAUGUGCCUCAGUUUCCCCACUUGUAAAAUGGGGAUAAAGAUACUUCCUACCCCAUAAGUUUCUGUUGAAGACUCAAUGAAGGAAUAUAUGCAAAGGGUUCGUCACUCAUUACAUGAAAGCCAUCAUCUUUAUUACUUCUGAAUACAAUGCUAGUGCAGCAGAAGGGGCACCAGGAACCCCGCCCCUCACCAGCUCAAGGGCUUUGGUUAGACAAGACUACCUCUCUGACAGAUGUAGGUUGAUAUUAUUCUAAAAUAUGUUGUGCAUUUCAUCUUCCUGGAGAAACUCAGGGAAGUUACAAAAUACUAUCUCUUUGCUUGAAGGAUCUUGCAUAAUUCCUUGGCCCUAGUCCAUUUGUAGGGAGCACAUUUAGUAACCCAAACAGAGUGUUAGAAAAGGCUUGCCUGGAAAGGGUUAACCACAGAGCUUUAGAAGGAGUUGGGCUCUGGGGAAAGAGAGAUUUCUAGGGAUGGUGGAAGAUGAGGCCUCCCUGCCCUCUGGGACCCUGGGAGGCGUCACCAUGGUGAUGCAGAGUGUAGGUCCGCUUUGCAUGUAUUUGGGGCUUUUUGUUUCUUCUGUUCUGGUGAGGGUCAGUUGAACUAGAUUAUGGAGAAAUGAGAUACAGAGAAAGGGAAAUGCUUUCUCCAGCCAGGGUAGUAUGGGAAGUUAUUGGAAAAGCAAGGACUAGAACUUAUUAGUUAACUUAUUAAUUAACCAAUAUUUAUGGAGCCCACUCUAUGCCAGGCCCAAUUCUAGGUACGGAGGACUUGGCAGAGAGCACGGCAGACAGUGUCUCUGGUCUAAUGGGGACAGCAGGCAGGAAUCAAGGAAGCAAAUAAAUAUGUGCCAUAUUUCACUGACCCUAAGAUGUCCCUCCCUUUUUUCACAUUUUAAAAUCUCUGAAAUCAAGGUGGAUGCAUCUUACAAUCAGUGAUAUGUCUUGAGAGCAUUUUCUUCUCUCAUAGUGAUAUGUAAAAUAAUGCUAUACCUUACAACUGAUGGCAUCUGAGAUUUAAUAAGAUAUAGUAAUAUGAUUCAAGUGAUGGCAUUCUCACCUCCUUAACACUGAUUUAUUUUCCAUCCAAGUGACUUACAGUAGAAACUCCUGCCUGAAAUGGACAACUCCUCUGACUGAUCUAUUUCUAGGACUUCUUUAGAAAUUCAUGGUUCUUUCAGUUAUAUUUCUGUGAAUCCACUUUUUUUUGGAACCAACAAAGACCCUUCCUGUAUCAGUAAGGAAUUUAUUUGGCUACAAAUAGGAGAAAACCAGAACCAUAAUGAUUGACACUGAUUUGCAUGACCCUGGGACUGGCGCAGCUGCUCAUCAGGCAUCCAGGCUGCUUCUUUCAUUUUACUCUACCAUCCUCAGCACAGGACUUUAGUCCUCAUGGUCACAAGAUGGCUGCUGUACUUCCUGGUCUCACAUCCAUGUUCCAGGCAGGAGGAGGGAGGAAGGACAAAAGGCAUGCCAGUCCCCCCACUCCUUUUUUAAAAAUCAGGAAAACAAGCUUUGCCAGAAGCAUCACUAGGCUGAACUUGCCUAUUUCUCACAGUCCGUGUGGUGUCACACGCUCACCUCUAGCUAGAAGAUGCCUGUGGAAAAGAGGGUUGUGUGAAUGAAGAUGAGAAGCCAACGGUGUCUGCUCUGCUGAAGAAAUAGAACAAUGGAGUUCUCAUGAGUGCAUUGCGUGUGUGAUGGCAUUUGUAGUGCAAUCAGAGGGAGGAGGGGAUGCCAUUCCUAUUCUUGACAGGAAAUCACUACACAGAUUUGCCUCACCUGAAAAUGUGGCAGAAGCCAGUCAGCAACGUCGUGACAGAGCCUGGACUUCUUCGUGCUUGUCUCCACAUAUCCAGCCACCUUGAGGAAGAGGAUGAUCCCACAGGCGCCAGCCAUGUUACUAGCCACUUUCUAACUUCCAAAUAAGAGGGAAAGGAACAUUCCAGACCAGGGGAGCCCACCCCCAACUCUUGGAAGAGAGCUUCAAUUUUUCCCAGAGACUCUGAAAUGACUCCAUCAAGGAGUCGAGUAGCUCAUAAGGGACCAAAGCUGCUACGCCAGAAGAUGGAGACAGUCUCAACCAGAUGCUCAUGUCCUGAGGGCAGGACGCAAGCCCUGGGCUGAGGCCCAGUGAGGAUCUCACAUUAAGGGGAGGGAGGAGGAGGGCUGGGUCAGGGAGGGACCCUUUGAGGGGUUGGCUGUUGGGGGAGCAAGUGCCUUCAUUAACAAAGGUGUUGGUGUUUGGCAAUCUUCUUUACCUGCUGAUGGUCUUCUUUUCCCAUCUAUCUUUGCAUCCUAGGCUUGUCAACUAACACAUCAAUAUAAUUCCUUUUGGAAGUGGCUGAAAAACUGCAAACACAGAACUUAUUGGUAGCUACAGUGGUAGAUUGUAAAAAUGGCCACAAUCCUUCACUGCGUCUAUAUGUUUACCCCUAAGCUAAAUGACUCUGUGCCCCUCUUCCAUCAAGAGGAACAGACUACCUCUCUGCUCCUUUGAUUGGGGCUGCCCUAGGGACUCACUGUGGCCAGUAGAAUGCAGCGGACCUUGUUUGUACGGUUCUGAAGCUCUUGCCUACUUCUCUCUCUGGAAACUUGUGUGAACAAGCCCGAGCUAGCCUGCUGGAGAAUGAGAAACACAGAGAAGCUGCCCCAGCUGAGGCUGUCCUAGUCCAGCCAGGCCCCAGCCCACCAGGCAGCUGGCCUCUGAGCAUGGGCAAGCUGGCAGAAAUAUGCCGGACUGCAGAAUCCUCCCCCGUGGCUACCUAUUUGCAAGCAGCUCUGUGCUCCUAAUGACAAGGAAAACCCAGAGGCUUAAAAUAGAACUCAUUUCCCAGGAUCUCAGGUACUCAGAGGAGAGAGGGGUGGGGACUUCUUGGACACAAGCUCACUUUAGCUGAUGAAACACAGGGAAGUGGUGUGUCCUUCACACUACAAGGAAGGAAACUUGUUUUGCUGGGAAAUACUGCAGAGGUUUUUGCCUCAUUUUCAUGGGAAGGGCUGAAGCUUCCACCCUCUGGCAACAUGGGCCAGACCCAAAUGAACUUGUGGCUGAGACCAGCUUUUCCUAAUGUAAGUGCUCAGUUGGCCAGGCAUGAUGGCUCAUACCUGUAAUCCCAGCACUUUGGGAGUCUGAGGUGGGUGGAUCACCUGAGGUCAGGAAUUUGAGACCAGCCUGGCCAACAUCGUGAAACCCUGUCUCUACUAAAAAUACAAAAAUUAGCAUGGUGGCAGGUGCCUGUAAUUCCAGCUACUCAGGAGGCGGAGACAGGAGAAUUGCUUGAACCCGGGAGGUGGAGGUUGCAGUGAGCCGAGACAGUGCCACUGCACUGCAGCCUGGGCAACAGAGCAAGACGCCAUCUCAAAAAAAAAAAAGAAAA